Acanthosepion pharaonis is the source of this 115-nucleotide non-coding RNA. Lineage: Eukaryota; Metazoa; Mollusca; Cephalopoda; Sepiida; Sepiidae. The record is from the annotation of a GenBank genome assembly.
UUACGGCCAUAUCACGUUGAGACACCGGUUUUCCUUGCGAUCAUCAAAGUUAAGCAACGUCGAGUCUGGUCAAUACCUAGAUGGGUGACCGCUUGGGAAUACCAGGUGUUGUAAG